ACGCUCGACACCUACGGAAGGCAGCAGUGGGGAAUAUUGCACAAUGGAGGAAACUCUGAUGCAGCGAUGCCGCGUGAGGGAAGAAGGUUUUCGGAUUGUAAACCUCUGUCUUUGGGGACGAUAAUGACGGUACCCAAGGAGGAAGCUCCGGCUAACUACGUGCCAACAGCCGCGGUAAUCUGAGCGGGCUGGCAAGGC
This 198-nucleotide ribosomal RNA is filed under the name uncultured bacterium. RNAcentral's name for it is "partial 16S ribosomal RNA". It matches the Rfam family "Bacterial small subunit ribosomal RNA", at positions 326 to 539 of the family's 1533-position model. The record is from RNAcentral.